ACCUGAUCCCAUUCCGAACUCAGAAGUGAAACGAUGCAUCGCCGAUGGUAGUGUGGGGUUUCCCCAUGUGAGAGUAGGUCAUCGUCAAGC
Molecule: ribosomal RNA, 90 nt
Filed under: Pseudomonas sp.
Lineage: Bacteria; Pseudomonadati; Pseudomonadota; Gammaproteobacteria; Pseudomonadales; Pseudomonadaceae
Also listed under: 1 other name
Source: RNAcentral